UAACAUUGAUCAGAUUCUGGAGGAUCAUAGCUGGGUCUGUUGUUUAUAAACGUCGAGGACUCUUAGUAGAUUAGGCUCUGGAGGACCUUACAAUGUACCUAAGAUGGCAGAGGGAAGGAGGUGAGGAGGCUGCGCAGUAGUCACAGGCCUUAGAGAUGACGACGAUGACGUCGAGGCGAUGCUGGAGAGCUUGGAGCUGUACCAGGACGCUUCCUCCAAAGACGACGAUGACAUCAAGGCAAAGCCAGAGAGCUCGGAGCCGUACGAGGGGCCUGCACACGCAUGACAAGAGAUGGGAGAGUGACCCUUUUUAUUCCUUGCUCAUCCUACGUGUGGGAUUAAAAACAGAGAAGAAACAAACCUUGCGAGGAGAUCGUGGACAAAUGAUCAUUAUCCGAUCACGGUGGGUCUAGAGUCAUUUUAGCUUUGUCCAGUCAUACUUCUCUAGCUUUAACAAAUUUAUACAAAAAUAUGUUAGCAUCUAAAAUAUCAAAUAAAUACACUAUCAUUCCAUGGUGUAUCUAAUGGUUUAAUGUUGUCGAUUCUGCAUUUUUUAAUAAACUUGGUCAACGUAGAGUAGUCUAAAUUAGGACAAGGCUAACAUAACUUGCAUAAUUGCAGUUGGAAUAGUAAUCAAAACCUUCAUGUCCACAACUUGCAUGUAAUCAAGCACCACCAGUAUCAUCUUCUAGAAGGAAGAAUCUUAGUUGAAGAAGCAAGGAACUGUUGCCUCCAACUCGUCAGCUUCAAAGUCAGUCGAUGGUGAGUGGCCUGGGAAAUGGCUAAACUUCGAGAGAGGAAAAAUUAUGCGAACUACUGCC
RNAcentral lists this long non-coding RNA (821 nucleotides) under Zea mays. Its description in RNAcentral is "long non-coding RNA (ZMAY_LNC002640)". Lineage: Eukaryota; Viridiplantae; Streptophyta; Magnoliopsida; Poales; Poaceae. The record is from RNAcentral.